UAGGGAAUCUUCCGCAAUGGACGCAAGUCUGACGGAGCAACGCCGCGUGAGUGAAGAAGGAUUUCGGUUCGUAAAACUCUGUUGUUAGAGAAGAACAGCGCAUAGAGUAACUGUUAUGCGUGUGACGGUAUCUAACCAGAAAGCAACGGCUAACUACGUGCCAGCAGCCGCGGUAAUACGUAGGUGGCAAGCGUUGUCCGGAUUUAUUGGGCGUAAAGCGAGCGCAGGCGGUCAAUUAAGUCUGAUGUGAAAGCCCCCGGCUCAACCGGGGAGGGUCAUUGGAAACUGGUUGACUUGAGUGCAGAAGAGGAGAGUGGAAUUCCAUGUGUAGCGGUGAAAUGCGUAGAUAUAUGGAGGAACACCAGUGGCGAAGGCGACUCUCUGGUCUGUAACUGACGCUGAGGUUCGAAAGCGUGGGUAGCAAACAGG
This 429-nucleotide ribosomal RNA is filed under the name Bacteroidota bacterium. RNAcentral describes it as "Bacteroidetes bacterium partial 16S ribosomal RNA". It matches the Rfam family "Bacterial small subunit ribosomal RNA", at positions 355 to 776 of the family's 1533-position model. Lineage: Bacteria; Pseudomonadati; Bacteroidota. The record is from RNAcentral.